Non-coding RNA from Erinaceus europaeus (western European hedgehog), 306 nucleotides. The record is from Rfam. NCBI's taxonomy places the organism in Eukaryota, Metazoa, Chordata, Mammalia, Eulipotyphla, Erinaceidae.
GGAUGUGAGGGCGAUCUGGUUGUGACAUCUGUUACCCCAUUGAUCGCCAGGGUUGAUUCGGCUGAUCUGGCUGGCUAGGCGGGUGUCCCCUUCCUCCCUCACCACUCCAUGUGCGUCCCUCCUGAAGCUGCGCGCUAGGUCCAAGAGGACCGCCUUCCCCGAAUAGAGACUGACAGUCUUCUGUCGAGGGUAUACGAGUAGCUGCGCUCCCCUGCUAGAACCUCCAAACAAGCUCUCAAGAAUACUGCAUUUAGAGAAAGAAAAAUGAGUAAUCUUAGAGUCCCUGCUCUGUAUGUGAAUCCCCAG